GUCCUUUAGGUAAUUAUAAUUUAAGGUCUAACCUGCCCAUUGAUAAGUUAAAAGGCCGCAGUAAUUUGACUGUGCAAAGGUAGCAUAAUCAUUAGUUUUUUAAUUAAAAGCUUGUAUGAAUGGUUGGACGAGAUAAAAUCUGUCUCUUUAUAAAAAAUAGAAUUUAAUUUUUAAGUUAAAAAGCUUAAAUUUAUAUAAAAGACGAGAAGACCCUAUAGAUCUUUAUAUAAUUUUAUAUAGUAUUAAUAAAGUUAAUUUAAUUUACUAUAAUAAAUUAUAUUUUAUUGGGGUAAUAAAAAGAUUAAUAUAAUUCUUUUUUUUUGAUACAAUAAUUAUUGAUUUUAUGAUCCAUUAUUAAUGAUUAUAUGAUUAAGUUACCUUAGGGAUAACAGCGUAAUUUUUUUAGAGAGUUCUUAUCAAUAAAAAAGUUUGCGACCUCGAUGUUGGAUUAAAAGUAAUUCUAGGUGCAGAAGUUUAGAGUUUUGGUCUGUUCGACCAUUAAAUUUUU
RNAcentral lists this ribosomal RNA (508 nucleotides) under Hydroporus subpubescens. RNAcentral's name for it is "partial 16S ribosomal RNA". It matches the Rfam family "Bacterial large subunit ribosomal RNA", at positions 1825 to 2597 of the family's 2925-position model. Lineage: Eukaryota; Metazoa; Arthropoda; Insecta; Coleoptera; Dytiscidae. The record is from RNAcentral.